ACGGAACGGGAUUAAUAACGCACACUGGCAGCGGGCAUUACAUCACUCAUCACGGUGAGCAAGGCACAGAGUGAAAAAAAACAACAACAAACGUUUUGCUCCUAGAAACAACGGCGGGUUUGGUACACGACCACCGAGUCCCUUCUAAUCAGAACAGAGUGUCUCUGUCGGUGCAGUGCGAGAUGGCUAUAAUCGUGAGAAGACAACUGCCCGCCCGUCUUGCAGACCUGACCCUAUCCUCUCGCUCUGGACCCGCCCGAUGGUAGCAGGCAUUGGCGGCGCCCUCUCCCGCGACCCAGUUCCCACGCCAGCGCGCACGGACAGCCCCUCUCUGUUCCAACGCAAAGGCGACAUACCAACCAGGGGAAAAGGGGCAGCAGCAGUAGUAGGUUGGAUGCGGGUUGUGUGUGCGGUGCUGUGCCUUGGCCUUGUCGGGGCGCUGCAGCGUGAGCAGGUAGCUCAGCAUGCCAUCAAGCUGCAUCGGGGCAGGAGUGCUGUGGCCAAGCACGCUUGGAGCUGGGUGUCUGAUAACUGCCGGCGCCUGGGCAGUCUCAUCCGACAGAAGAACACUGCCAUUAAGAAGCUCGCUGUGGCUGCAGCCGCUGUGGGGCGAGACCACUCCCUCUCAGACCCAGAGAGACUCUUCCAGGUUCACACUCUGGAGGUGUUCCAGAAGGAGCUGAAUGAGAGCGAACGCUCAGUCUUCCAGGCGGUGGUGGGCCUGCAGAGGGCGCUGCAGGGAGACUACAGGGACGUGGUCAACAUGAAGGAGAGCAGCCGUCAGAGACUGGAGGCCCUCAGGGAAGCAGCCAUUAAGGAGGAGCAGGAGUAUGUAAGCUGGUAGCAGCAGAGAAGCACCAGGUGGAGGCUGUGAAGAGUGCCCUGGCCCAGAACAAGACCCUGUCCAUGCUGGAUGAGAUCCUCGAGGACGUCAGGAGAGCUGCUGACCGCCUGGAGGAGGAGAUAGAGGACCACGCCUUCGACAACAAUAAACAGAUGAAUGGAGUGCACGUAGCCAACGUGGAGGCGGUGCUGAGAGUGGAGGAGGAGGAGGAAGACGGAGGGAAAAGAAGAAGGAACGCGUCAAGGAGAGGUGGAGAGGUGGAGGACGACGUGGGGCUGAGCAUGCUCAUCGACUCCCAGAACAACCAGUAUGUUCUGACCAAGCCCAGAGACUCCACCAUGCCCCGCUCUGAUCAACACUUCAUCAAGGACCUGGUCUCCGUAGUGAUGCUGUCUCUGCCAUGUGGUUGGCUGUGCAAUAUGAUGGGCCUGCCCCCCAUGUUUGGUUACAUCGUCUGUGGAGUCCUCCUGGGUCCCUCUGGACUCAACAGCAUCAAGUCUAUGGUGCAGGUAGAGACGCUGGGAGAGUUGGGAGUGUUCUUCACUCUCUUCGUGGUCGGUCUCGAGUUCUCCCCAGAGAGACUUCGGAAGGUGUGGAAGAUCUCUGUGCAGGGUUCAUGCUACCUCAGUCUGUUGAUGGUGGCUACAGGGCUGCUGUGGGGUCAGGUGCUGCAUAUCCGUCCCACCCAGACCGUCUUCAUCUCCUCCUGUCUCUCUCUAUCCUCCACACCACUGGUCUCACGCUUCCUGGCUGGGGGCGCCCGCGCAGAGAAGGACGGGGAGCUGGACUACAGCAGUGUUCUCCUGGGGAUGUUGGUGUCUGUCAGGAUGUUCAGCUGGUUCUGUUCUGUGUGUCUCUUUGUUCUGUGUUGUGAGGCUGGUGUUCUGUGUUCUAUCCUGUGUUCUGUAGUGUCCUGUUUGGAGGUCUGCACGUCCUCCUGCUCCUGUCCCAGGUCCUGUUCUCUCUGGCUAUGGUACUACUGCUGUGUGUUCUCCUCAAAUCCUUCCUGAUUGGUCCAUACUACAGGAAGCUCCAUGCUGAGUCUAAAGGCAACAAGGAGAUCCUGGUUCUGGGGACCGCUGCCUUCGUAUUCCUCAUGCUCACCGUGACAGAGUUCUUGGGCAUUUCCAUGGAGCUGGGCUGCUUCCUGGCUGGAGCGCUUCUCUCCUCGCAGGGUCACAUUUGCACCACGGAGGUCAUGGGCUGCAUCGAGCCAAUCAGAGACUUCCUCGCCAUCAUCUUCUUCGCCUCCAUUGGUUUCCAUGUCUUUCCUACCUUUGUCCUGUAUGAACUGACAGUCCUGGUGGUGCUGACUCUCUCACUGGUCAUCAUGAAGUUCCUGAUGGCGGUGCUGGUGCUGUCGGCCAUCUUGCCUAAGGGUUCUCGCCACAUCCGUUGGAUAGUGUCUGCUGGCCUGGCGCAGGUCAGCGAGUUCUCCUUCGUCUUGGGGAGCCGCGCCCGCCGAGCUGGCAUCAUCUCCAGAGAGGUGUACCUGCUGGUUCUCAGUGUCACCACUCUGAGUCUUCUGCUGGCUCCGGUGUUGUGGAGAGCCGCCACACACAAGUGGGUCCCUCGAGCCGAACGCAAGACGCUCGCCCGCCCGCCCCCGCUGCUGCCACACCCAGCAGACUGAAGCCCAUAGGGGCCCUGUAAAAGGGUCAAAGGGUCAAAGGUCAUUCUCCCUCUUUCCAUGGAGAAAAUCCUAAUGACCCAUUAUGUUUGGGUCAUUGGUUGCAUCCAAAAUGGCACCCUGUUCCCAACAUAGAGCCCUGAUCUAAAGUAGUGCACUAUGUAGGGAAUAGGGCUCUGGUCUAAAGGAAGUGCACUAUAUAUAACGAAUAGGGUGCCAUUUGAGAUGGGAUCAUUGUAGAACGGUUUACAUGUCCUCGUUGUUGUCUUGACUGUCCUUCCUCCACUCACGUCCUACAGUAGUUAUGGAGGAAUCCCUGAUGAGACCCUUUUGGUUUGUGACGUCACAAUGAUGGUGAUGACAUAUUCCCCUCAAGGGAAUAUUAUUAGUCUGGGGUUGCAUAUGGAUCAGUUUCAUCCGGACAUAAACCUGGGAGAAAGUCAAGGUUUUAACAGUUCGACUUUCCAUUUAGUACGUUUGAAUGUCAUGCUGAUACUGUAAAGUCUGUGUUCUAACCAAACACGGACACAUAGAGACUGUAUGUGGGUUGUUUAUGUCAGGGCUUUACCUGUAUGUACGUGUUAUUGCACUCCUAUGGCAUCUAAUGCUGUAAAAUGUUUAUUUUUCUUAUGUUUCAGUGACUGUUUCAUAUGAUAAUGGCUUGAUAAUUUUAUUCUGUUUGUAUGGUGUACUGUACUGUAGCCCGACUGGAAGAAAAGACUACAACUAGAAGACUUCCUGCUAAUACAUCAUGCAAGGGAGAAAUAAAGAUAUAGCAUUGUAUUUAUUAGGCCAGUUAUAGUUCGAUUAUGUAUAAAUGUUACAAUGGAAAUAAGGGGGUCAUUCCAAGCACAAUAAAUUCCCAUUUUACAUUAUGUUGUGUAGGUUGGAGUUUGUUUAAUAUUCAACAAAAUACAAAAGUUGUACAUUAUUUAAUAAAAAAAUGUCGUUAUUUAUUAAAAGAUUGGUUUAUUGGU
Molecule: RNA transcript, 3451 nt
Organism: Oncorhynchus gorbuscha (pink salmon)
Lineage: Eukaryota; Metazoa; Chordata; Actinopteri; Salmoniformes; Salmonidae
Gene name: transmembrane and coiled-coil domain-containing protein 3-like
Exons: 15
Source: RefSeq, a predicted model, not a curated record